CGAGCAAGCCGGGCAGCCGCGGGCACAGUCUGAAAAGGCGUGUCUGAGGAAAGUCCGGGCUCCAUAGGGCAAGGAUAACGGCUAACGGCCGCCGGGGGCGACCCCAGGGAUCGUGCAACAGAGAAAUACCGCCGUGCUUUUUUGCACGGUAAGGGUGGAAAGGCGAGGUAAGAGCUCACCGGCAUGCAGGAGACUGCAUGGCCCUGUAAACCCUAUCCGGAGCAACACCGUGGAGGAACAUUUGCGCUUGCCCGGCGCGUUCCGCGGAGGUGGCGUGAGCCGUAUGGCAACGUACGGCCAAGAUAGAUGGCUGCUCAAGACAGGACCCGGCUUAUAGACUUGGUCGCUUU
Molecule: RNase P RNA, 350 nt
Filed under: Yeguia hominis
Lineage: Bacteria; Bacillati; Bacillota; Clostridia; Eubacteriales; Yeguiaceae
Description: Bacterial RNase P class A
Rfam family: Bacterial RNase P class A
About the family: Ribonuclease P (RNase P) is a ubiquitous endoribonuclease, found in archaea, bacteria and eukarya as well as chloroplasts and mitochondria.
Source: Rfam by way of RNAcentral